AAAAGUUAAAAAUUAGGCCAAUAAGCAUGUGACACAUGGCAUGCUUGAUUAUUUUAUUAUUUUCUAUAGAAAUCAGCCCAUUAAAUCCCCAAUUCCCUCACCAUAUUCGGCCUAGGCAUCCAGCAACAAGAAAAAAGGAAGAACAAAAGGAAAAACAAGAAAACCUAGGUGGAAAUUCAAAGAAAAAGUGAAGAAAUCAAGGAAACAAGCUAGGUAAGUUAAAAUUUCUUUAAUUCUCCUUGAUACCUAGCUUACCCAUGCUUUUGUUCUUGAUUUCCAUGGUUGAAUAUUGAGUUAUCAUGAUGAAUUCAAUUCUGAAAAAUGGGUAUGGAAGAGGAAUUGUUGUUGGAAUAAUUUGAUUUUAGACUAUGUUAGUGUUUAGGGAUAGUUAAGCAUGGUUAUGAACAAAAACACAAAAGAAAUAUUCAAUUUCUCUAGGGUUCCUUGUUGGUCGAACCAUGAGGGCUGAAUAUCAAUGGGGGAUUGUUUUUAUUUCAAGGAAAAUGGCAUGAAAAAUGAUGAAGUAAGGUGAAACGGUUAUGUAGAAAAAAAAUUCGAUGCUAGUGCACCAAAUGACCAAAUUUUUCUAUAAGGAACUGUGAGGGUUCUAAUGCUGAAUUUGGCUUUAUUUAAAUGUAUGUGGUAAAUUAAGGUAUUAGAGGAGAAAUGAAUUAAUUUGGAGGUGAUUUGGACACAAUCGCCGAUUAAUCGGGUGAUCGGUCGAAUUUAAUCGAUACCGUGAUUAAGCGGUAAUCGGACAUAUUUUUGCAUUUACAUAUCAAGCAUUAGUAGUUUAAAUUAAUUUAUAUCAAUUUAGGGACAAUAUAGUAAAUUCCUCGACUUUGUUAUUUGUCAAGGUGGUGAGACGUCCGGAAAAGGCAAAGGAAUUACGCUUGAGGACUAUUAGUCAGAGUUCACCCGGAAUCCGGAUUUUCGACACCUGUGAGUGGACUGCCUAUCAAAAUUGUUUUGGGAAUAUGACUGUUUUGAACAAAGUGUUUGAAUGAUUUUAUGCAAUUUUUCAUGAAAAUGAAUGCCUUGGGAACAAGCUUUUGAGAAAAGGUUUAUGUUAUGAAAUGUGGUUAUUAUGGAUUUCUAUGUGGCUGCAUUAUGUUGAUAUACAUAUAUGCUUGAAUAUAAUGUUGUGUAAUUAUGUUGACUCGGCUAUGUGCGAGUAGGGAGUGCGCAUAAGCCGAGGAUGACCCGGUUAUGUGCGAGUAGGGAGUGCGCAUAACCCGGUGAUGACCCAGCCAUGUGCGAGUAGGGAGUGCGCAUGAGCUGGUGAUGAUGAUGAUGAGCUGGUGAUGAUGAUGAUGGGUUGGUGAGAUGAUGAUGAUGGGUAUAUACGUAUAUAUAUAUAUAUACAUAUGUAAAUAUGUGUGAUAUAGCAAAUGGAUGGACAAUGAUUUAUGGAUGUGAUGUACAUGAAAGUUGAGACAUUGUACUUUGAGAAUUUUCAUGAAUGUUAGGUUGAUUUUAUUAGUUUAGCAGGAUGGCUUUUUGUUGAGUGAGGAAAAAUGUUUCUCUUGUUGCUUUGUUUUCACUGCAUCGAAAUUCAUGCUCGAUGUAGCGAAAAAGCUCUGGGGUUUGGAGGGGUCUUAAAUAGGAAUGAACUAAAUUGCAUUGUUUUGAAACAAGUGCAUCAUGAUUUUAAAUUUUUCCUAAUUGUUGCUUGUUCCCUUCCUUGUUCACUCACUGGGUUUAUACUCACCAUUUUCAAAUUCAUGUUUUCAGAUCACGAGGUAGCCGAUAAUUAGGACGAGGUGUCCUUGUAGAUCUGUGUACAUCUUUUGGUGGGUGUCUCGGCAUUCGAUAGCUGUAUAUCCAUCCG
Molecule: long non-coding RNA, 1831 nt
Filed under: Theobroma cacao (cacao)
Lineage: Eukaryota; Viridiplantae; Streptophyta; Magnoliopsida; Malvales; Malvaceae
Description: long non-coding RNA (TCAC_LNC004580)
Source: RNAcentral